CGGCCUUUUCCUGUUGGAGGCUAAUGCACAUUUCCUUGACAGUAUCAUUGAAUCUCUUUCUGCUGGUGCACACAGUCGUAUUAGAACUGUGACUCUGAUUAGGGCUCUUCUGGAGGACUUCUUAGCCUGUGAACUUCCAAGGAGUAUGAUUAGUGAGGGUUGCACAGUUACCAAAUAUCCAUACAAGGCAUAGCAAGAGGCUUAUACUGCUAUCACUCCAUUCAGAGCAACAAGAUGAAGAA
Molecule: long non-coding RNA, 242 nt
Organism: Tympanuchus pallidicinctus (lesser prairie-chicken)
Lineage: Eukaryota; Metazoa; Chordata; Aves; Galliformes; Phasianidae
Exons: 4
Source: RefSeq, a predicted model, not a curated record